Molecule: ribosomal RNA, 840 nt
Filed under: Triticum aestivum (bread wheat)
Lineage: Eukaryota; Viridiplantae; Streptophyta; Magnoliopsida; Poales; Poaceae
Description: partial small subunit ribosomal RNA
Source: RNAcentral
AUGGAAACAGAAGUCCGCUUAACCAGUGUCUUGGGGAAAAACUGCCCUCCGAUAGACACCUUAUUCGCUUUCCUUCCCAGCCAUCGGCGCAUCGAUCUAUUGGACUGCUGCAAUGGCCUCCUCCUCUCUCGCUGGUACGACGUUUCGGCUCUUGGUGACGAGUUUUGUUACAUCGUGUGCAGUCCUGCCAUGAAGGAGUGGGUUUCGUUGCCCGAUCGCAGCCAUGAAAACAAGGUGGGCAUAGAGCGUCUGGGUUUCGAUCUGACCGUGUCUUCCCACUUCUAUGUGUUUGUGUUACUAGAGGAUGUCAACUUUAACGACUACCUUGCUGAAGUGGAAGUGUAUUCAUCGGAAACUAGGAGAUGGAUUUACAAGGAAAUUGACUACCCAGCAGGAAGCACAAUUCUUUUGUUCCUUCCUUUUUUUGGGCAGUCUACCGCUCUCUUCCUCAAUGGCUGUUUGCAUUUUUACUCCAACGGCAAAAGGUCACCCUUUUUUAUAGGUGUGGUGGACACGGUGGGGGAAACAUCGAUGAAUUUCCAUAUCCCCGCUCAUUUGAAUAAAGGUUUUAUUCAGCACUCACAGGACUGCCUGCAUUAUGCCAAGUUCGAGAGAGGUGAAGGUGAUGUGGUUCGACGAGUACUCUAUGUUCUUGAUGACUAUGACCGCAAAGAGUGGAAAUUGAAGCAUAGUGUUGAAACUUCAGACAUAUUUGGAGGGACAAAUGUUACUGAUUCCGAUUUGUUUGCGAUUCAUCCGGUCGAUUUCCGUUGGGUUGCGAUUCAUCCGGAUUAUAAAUUAAUCUUCUUUACUGUGGAGACAGAUUCCACAUUAAUGUGA